AGAGAGAGAGAGAGAGAGAGAGACUGAGAUUUCACAAUCAGUUAUUUAUUGUGAAGAAACCAACUUCCCUUUUUCGAUGGCCUUUCCUAGAAGAAUCCUUUAAUGGGUAUCCGUUUAUUUGUGGAAUUUCAUUGAGCUGAGUUUCAGAUGUUAGGCCAGCAAGAUAAUGACCGCCUUGCAGGUGGUAUUCCCCGGAAAAACUAUUUACGGUCCGUUUCUUGGACUGACAAGUCUCCCACUCAACCUAACCCCAGACCCCAACCCAACAGCAAGGCUCGGUCCUGUUUGCCUCCCCUCCAGCCCCUUUCAAUCGCCCGCCGUCCUGUUGAGGAGUGGCCUACGGCUGGCCCUGAUGAUCUUGGGGUGUGGCCUAAUCCCCAGACCCCAAGAGGCCCUGUUAAAGCCCUCGACAAUUCUAAUAUUGAGCAGCCUGUGAAGGAAUUUCAGUUUAAGAAGGAUAAGCUUGCAUUUUUUGAUAAGGAGUGCUCGAGGAUUGCUGGUCAUAUUUAUUUAGGAAGUGAUGCUGUGGCUAAGAAUCGCGAAAUUUUGCGCCAAAAUGGGAUUACUCAUGUGCUGAAUUGUGUUGGUUUUGUCUGUAAUGAGUAUUUCAAGACCGAUCUUGUGUACAAAACGCUUUGGUUGCAAGAUAGCCCAUCAGAGGAUAUCACAAGCAUUCUAUAUGAUGUGUUUGAUUACUUUGAAGAUGUUCGAGAACAGGGUGGAAGGGUUCUUGUUCAUUGUUGCCAAGGAGUUUCAAGGUCCACUUCUUUGGUCAUUGCCUACCUUAUGUGGAGGGAGGGCCAAAGCUUUGAAGAUGCCUUUCAAUAUGUGAAGGCAGCUAGAGGAGUAACAAAUCCAAAUAUGGGUUUUGCUUGUCAACUUCUGCAGUGCCAGAAGCGUGUUCAUGCUGUGCCAGCUAGCCCAAAUUCUGUGCUUAGGAUGUAUAGGAUGGCUCCACACUCAUCAUAUGAUCCUCUUCAUCUUGUGCCAAAAAUGUUGAGCCAGCCAGACGCAAGAGGACUUGACUCUCGGGGUGCGUUCAUUGUCCAUAUUCCUACUGCAAUCUUUGUUUGGAUUGGGAAGAAUUGCAACUCAGUUAUGUCAAACCAAGCAAAAGUAGCUGCCAAUCAGGUCAUCCGUUAUGAAAGGGCUCAAGGUCCAAUUGUGAUCAUCAAAGAAGGGGAAGAACCAUCAGAAUUUUGGGAUGCUAUUGCCAAUGGACAAAUCCCAGCUGAUGGAUGCCAAAAAGUAGAGCAUAGAAAAGAAGCCGCUUCGUCUUCUGGGAAAAAUGAGAACAUUGCUGCAGCAAUUUGUAGCGGGGUUUGUGAGAGGAAGGUUGAGGAAUAUGAUUCGGAUUUUGAACUUUUCCACAAGGCACUUGCUGGUGGGGUUGUUCCUCCAUUUUCAGUAUCAAAUGCUGGAUCAGAAACCUGCCUCCCUGCCAGGGAAAAUGGAUGGGGCAGACUAAGGCAGAAGUUUGCUAAUGGUAUAAUGAAAGAAUUUCUCGCAUCAUCCAAACUGAAGCAUGAUCAUGUUUCAUCCAUUGGCGGAUCAGAUAUGAUUAUAGAUGCUUGUAGAGAAUCUGAAAAACCUGUUGAUUAUCCAUUAUCAUCACCAUCAGCUUUUCCAUGUGGUUCUCCAGAUUCCUUUGAACCUUUCCUGAACAGCAGCCCAGAUAGGAUAA
This 1684-nucleotide unclassified non-coding RNA is filed under the name Hevea brasiliensis (rubber tree). Lineage: Eukaryota; Viridiplantae; Streptophyta; Magnoliopsida; Malpighiales; Euphorbiaceae. The record is from RNAcentral.